This 40-nucleotide ribosomal RNA is filed under the name Rhizopus arrhizus. Its description in RNAcentral is "Rhizopus oryzae partial 28S ribosomal RNA". Lineage: Eukaryota; Fungi; Mucoromycota; Mucoromycetes; Mucorales; Rhizopodaceae. The record is from RNAcentral.
CUAUGAUCUGAAGUCAGGUGGGAUUACCCGCUGAACUUAA